GACGAACGCUGGCGGCGUGCUUAACACAUGCAAGUCGAACGGGAAGGCCCUGCUUUUGUGGGGUGCUCGAGUGGCGAACGGGUGAGUAACACGUGAGUAACCUGCCCUUGACUUUGGGAUAACUUCAGGAAACUGGGGCUAAUACCGGAUAGGAGCUCCUGCUGCAUGGUGGGGGUUGGAAAGUUUCGGCGGUUGGGGAUGGACUCGCGGCUUAUCAGCUUGUUGGUGGGGUAGUGGCUUACCAAGGCUUUGACGGGUAGCCGGCCUGAGAGGGUGACCGGCCACAUUGGGACUGAGAUACGGCCCAGACUCCUACGGGAGGCAGCAGUGGGGAAUAUUGCACAAUGGGCGGAAGCCUGAUGCAGCAACGCCGCGUGCGGGAUGACGGCCUUCGGGUUGUAAACCGCUUUCGCCUGUGACGAAGCGUGAGUGACGGUAAUGGGUAAAGAAGCACCGGCUAACUACGUGCCAGCAGCCGCGGUGAUACGUAGGGUGCGAGCGUUGUCCGGAUUUAUUGGGCGUAAAGGGCUCGUAGGUGGUUGAUCGCGUCGGAAGUGUAAUCUUGGGGCUUAACCCUGAGCGUGCUUUCGAUACGGGUUGACUUGAGGAAGGUAGGGGAGAAUGGAAUUCCUGGUGGAGCGGUGGAAUGCGCAGAUAUCAGGAGGAACACCAGUGGCGAAGGCGGUUCUCUGGGCCUUUCCUGACGCUGAGGAGCGAAAGCGUGGGGAGCGAACAGGCUUAGAUACCCUGGUAGUCCACGCUGUAAACGGUGGGUACUAGGUGUGGGGUCCAUUCCACGGGUUCCGUGCCGUAGCUAACGCUUUAAGUACCCCGCCUGGGGAGUACGGCCGCAAGGCUAAAACUCAAAGGAAUUGACGGGGCCCCGCACAAGCGGCGGAGCAUGCGGAUUAAUUCGAUGCAACGCGUAGAACCUUACCUGGGUUUGACAUGGAUCGGGAGUGCUCAGAGAUGGGUGUGCCUCUUUUGGGGUCGGUUCACAGGUGGUGCAUGGCUGUCGUCAGCUCGUGUCGUGAGAUGUUGGGUUAAGUCCCGCAACGAGCGCAACCCUUGUUCACUGUUGCCAGCACGUUAUGGUGGGGACUCAGUGGAGACCGCCGGGGUCAACUCGGAGGAAGGUGGGGAUGACGUCAAGUCAUCAUGCCCCUUAUGUCCAGGGCUUCACGCAUGCUACAAUGGCUGGUACAGAGAGUGGCGAGCCUGUGAGGGUGAGCGAAUCUCGGAAAGCCGGUCUCAGUUCGGAUUGGGGUCUGCAACUCGACCUCAUGAAGUCGGAGUCGCUAGUAAUCGCAGAUCAGCAACGCUGCGGUGAAUACGUCCCCGGG
This 1343-nucleotide ribosomal RNA is filed under the name uncultured bacterium. RNAcentral's name for it is "16S ribosomal RNA". It matches the Rfam family "Bacterial small subunit ribosomal RNA", at positions 28 to 1378 of the family's 1533-position model. The record is from RNAcentral.